CGUUUGAACAGAACCUUUACCGAAAGAUUUUUCACCCAAAAGAAUGGCUCUGUGAUGAUCUUGCAAAGCACCUGACACAAUUUCCGAUGCAGAAGCGGAACCUUCGUUAAUCAAAACUACAAUCGGCAAACCUUUUGCAACAUCGCCGCUGUGCGCCGCAUAUUUUAUCGUAUCUUCUUCGUUUCUUGAGCGAGUAGAAACAAUUUCACCCUUGUCCAAAAACAAGUCCGAAACCGCAACCGCCUGAUCAAGCAAACCACCCGGGUUAUUUCUUA
RNAcentral lists this non-coding RNA (275 nucleotides) under bovine gut metagenome. The record is from RNAcentral.